This 938-nucleotide long non-coding RNA is filed under the name Homo sapiens (human). Its description in RNAcentral is "non-protein coding lnc-MALL-7:1". Lineage: Eukaryota; Metazoa; Chordata; Mammalia; Primates; Hominidae. The record is from RNAcentral.
CCCGGCCACCCAGGCCUGCCCCUCUGGCCACUACUGCCCUGGAGGAAGUGAGACCCACUCGGGAGCUCCCCAGGCCUGCCCUGAGCAUACCUACCUGGCAACAGAUGGAGGCCAUAGUCAGGCGGAGUGCCUCCCCUGCCCUGCUGGGUACCACUGCCCAUGGCCAGGUCUCUCUUCCUUUGAAGACCACCCAUGUCCUCCGGGCCACUGGUGUCUAGGUGACCAGGGUGCCUUUUUCUGCCCACCUGGCACCUUUAGGUCAGAGCCAGGGGCAUCAGCACAGGAAGACUGUGAGCUCUGCCCUCCUGGCUACCACUGCCCAGACCCUGAGCUUCAGGGUCAUGCAAAUGUGUUUGCCAUCCCCUGCCCAGCUGGAUCUGAGUGCCCAGCAGGUGCUGUGGCUGAGGUCCCUUGUAGGCCCGGCUCCUACUGUGGGCCUCAGACGGGGCUGCCCCCACUCUGCCCCGGGGGGCUAUGCCUGCCCUGUCAGCUCCUCCACCUACAGUGGCCUGGGGCAGCGCUGUGUCUUUCCCCAUUACUGCCCCCCGGGCAGUGCCCAACCUCGUGCCUGCCCUGGGGGCUCCGAAGCCCUGAAUGGGACCAGCCUCAGGGUCUCUGAGGAGAUAUGCUGCCUGCCGCCUCUGUGAAGCGGGCACCUACCGCAGCCGGGCCCUGGAUGCUCUACCCUUACAGCCCUGCCCGCCUGGAUUCAGCUGCCCCCAGGGGUCAGAGAGCUACCAGGGCCAUUCCUGCCCGGUGGGCCACUACUGCCCUGCAGGGACUCGCAGCCCAAGGCCCUGCCCAGCAGGGACCUUCAGAAGCAGCAGCAGGGCCAGGGCAGCUGAAGACUGCCGGCUCUGCCCUGCGGACACCUUCAGUGCCCUGCCUGGACAGGUGGGCUGCCUCACCUGCCAGAGCGCCGCUUUCUCUCCACCAGG